GACGUAGGGUGCGAGCGUUGUCCGGAAUUACUGGGCGUAAAGAGCUCGUAGGUGGUUUGUCGCGUUGUUCGUGAAAUCUCACGGCUUAACUGUGAGCGUGCGGGCGAUACGGGCAGACUAGAGUACUGCAGGGGAGACUGGAAUUCCUGGUGUAGCGGUGGAAUGCGCAGAUAUCAGGAGGAACACCGAUGGCGAAGGCAGAUCUCUGGGCCGUUACUGACGCUGAGGAGCGAAAGCGUGGGGAGCAAACAGG
Molecule: ribosomal RNA, 253 nt
Filed under: uncultured bacterium
Lineage: Bacteria
Description: partial 16S ribosomal RNA
Rfam family: Bacterial small subunit ribosomal RNA
Source: RNAcentral